This 666-nucleotide long non-coding RNA is filed under the name Cricetulus griseus (Chinese hamster). RNAcentral's name for it is "lncRNA (ENSCGRG00015032393.1)". The record is from RNAcentral. Lineage: Eukaryota; Metazoa; Chordata; Mammalia; Rodentia; Cricetidae.
GGCAUCUGACCUUAGUGACUAAGACAAGGUCAGACAAAUACGUGUUAGGCUGUUAUGGCUGCCCAAAUGGGGAGCUGGUCCCUUCACCCGGGGUGAACACUAGGAAGUGGCGAUCCCCCAGUCACCAGGCAGAGGCGAGAACUUGAUGCAAACAGCAAGAGCCUUUGUUAUUCAGUAACUGGACAUAGGACAUUUCAGGAAGACCGAAAGAAGAAAGAAUCAAAGAAGAGCUCAGAGUCCUCCAGAGGUGACCAUGUGUGUGGUGUCAGCAGCAUGGGAUGCCAAGAGAAGGUUCCCUGAAGAUGAUGAGAAGAGUUCAGCUUGAGGUGGAUUGGACACGCUGAUCCUUCUGACCCAGCAACAGAGGGCUGGGGUUAAAGGUGUGACCUCAAGUCCGCAAAAACCUACUAAGGAUAUCACAGAGCAUAGGAAAUACCAUGGUAAAUCCCAGGAUUUUCAUUUCCUGUAAUAAUUACCCCAAAUUGCAAAGAAAAAUUCCUGUACAAUGUCCUGAACAAUAGAAAGUGUGUGUGUGUGUGUGUGUGUGUGUGUGUGUGUGUGUGUGUGUGUGUGUGUGUGUGUGUAGCACCUGUGUGGAAGGACAACUUACAGGAAUUGAUUCUGUCUUUCUACCAUGAGUUCUAGGGGUUGAAUCCAGGUGGCAAG